UUUGUACUCCCUCCGUCCCAAAAUUCUUGUCUUAAAUUUUUCUAAAUACGGAUGUAUCUAGUUACAUUUUAGUGUUAGAUACAUCCAUAUCUAAACAAAUGUAAGACAAGAAUUUUGGGACGGAGGGAAUACUAC
Molecule: non-coding RNA, 135 nt
Organism: Triticum aestivum (bread wheat)
Lineage: Eukaryota; Viridiplantae; Streptophyta; Magnoliopsida; Poales; Poaceae
Source: Rfam